Molecule: small nuclear RNA, 107 nt
Filed under: Mesocricetus auratus (golden hamster)
Lineage: Eukaryota; Metazoa; Chordata; Mammalia; Rodentia; Cricetidae
Source: RNAcentral
GUGUUCCCUUAGGGAUCACAUAUACCAAGACUGGGAAAAGGCAGAGAUUACGACUAUGACCCCUGGAAAAGGAUGACACAUGGAUCCCUGAAGCAGUCCACAUGCUG